AGCGAACGCUGGCGGUAGGCCUAACACAUGCAAGUCGAACGGCAGCACAGUAAGAGCUUGCUCUUACGGGUGGCGAGUGGCGGACGGGUGAGGAAUACAUCGGAAUCUACUUUUUCGUGGGGGAUAACGUAGGGAAACUUACGCUAAUACCGCAUACGACCUACGGGUGAAAGCAGGGGAUCUUCGGACCUUGCGCGAUUGAAUGAGCCGAUGUCGGAUUAGCUAGUUGGCGGGGUAACGGCCCACCAAGGCGACGAUCCGUAGCUGGUCUGAGAGGAUGAACAGCGACAGUGGGACUGAGACGCGGUCCUGACUCCGACGGGAGGCAGCGGUGGGGAAUAUUGGACGAUGGGCGCAAGCCUGAUCCAGCCAUACCGCGUGGGUGAAGAAGGCCUUCGGGUUGUAAAGCCCUUUUGUUGGGAAAGAAAGGCAGCAGGUUAAUACCCCGCUGUUCUGACGGUACCCAAAGAAUAAGCACCGGCUAACUUCGUG
RNAcentral lists this ribosomal RNA (492 nucleotides) under uncultured bacterium. RNAcentral's name for it is "partial 16S ribosomal RNA". It matches the Rfam family "Bacterial small subunit ribosomal RNA", at positions 29 to 507 of the family's 1533-position model. The record is from RNAcentral.